UUGUUGCUCCCUUGCACUUGUCUGUUGCUUGUGGACACAACAAGGUUGCAAACAGCAAUUCAAAGAAUGAAAAGGCGUGACUUCUGGAGUCUCAGAAGCAUCACGUGCGAUGUUCUUUGGACAAGACUCCCGCUUUCCACGGUGGCGAUGGACUCUGUAGACAUCACCUUUCUUGAAGCGGGUAGAGAAAAAACACGGGCUGCCGGGUAUUGUCUGAAUCAGGUGAAGCGCUUCCUAUUGGACACCGCUGGCUGCCACAAAC
Molecule: non-coding RNA, 262 nt
Organism: Phyllopteryx taeniolatus (common seadragon)
Lineage: Eukaryota; Metazoa; Chordata; Actinopteri; Syngnathiformes; Syngnathidae
Source: RefSeq, a predicted model, not a curated record